AGGAGCAAAGUACCGUGGGGACUGUAGUAGUCCUUCUCUUCUGAACUAGGUAUGUCCACUACAUGAUGUUAUGAUGUGGAAUACCAAUAACCGAAAAUCACAAAACCAUGACAGUUCCUCUUGGCAGAACAGCUUGGAGCAAGGACAAUGUUAUGAUCUGUGAGGAAACCAACUGGUAUGUCUGUCCUCCAUAAGCUGGCCUUCCUGACUGCCUGUGCUCUGUGAAAGAUUUUAAAGAGAAUGAGUACAAAUCAGGAAGAAUCCUAACAAAAUGAAAAACCCUGAAUGAUUAAAAACUGGACUGCCAACUUUGGUUCUGCUUAGCCAGAGCACUCUAGGCUUACUGUGAAGUGGAGCAUGGCUGAAAUGUGCAUUAAGAACUUGACCAAGACAAAGUCAUAAUGUCAUCUGGCUUUGAAGGUGGACAGAGGAGCAGACUGCAGCAUAGUUUGUCAUCUGCUUGUAUUUCAUUUGUGUUGCCUUCGCCCCCGGGCAGGAAAAUGUGAAGGUGUGUAUGGGGACAAGAAGAUUACUUAGAGAGCUUGCUUUAGCAGUAUGAUUACCAGUCCUUGUGAUUAUCUGGAUCAAAGCUAAUCUAAUUAUAUUUUAUCCAUUGGCACUAUUGCCUCCUAAUUGUGAUGGCAUCCAGUUGACCUAAUGAAGCAGUCUCUUCUAAUCAGUUAGGGCUGCCCUGCAUGUCAUGUGAGAUUAUAGGCCAGUUUUAGAAGAAACAGCAACACUGUAAAGUGUGUGUGUGCUUGAGAGAGGUUUCGUAGCAGCCUUCUUCUGAAUGUUUCACCAUUGAAUGUUCCUUUAUCUGUCCCUUAGGAGGCAGAUGGCUGCUCUGGCAAGUUGGCUGAGGAAACAUCCUUUAUGGCUGCGUUCUGCAAGGGGCCUAGGUCUCAGUUCCUGGUCAGUAACAUCAGUAGGCCCAGGUGCUGCAGCUUUGUUCACAGAUCUGGAGCCCUGUCACAGGAGUGUAACAGGCACUGUAAAUAGGAGUGAGUAGCUACAAACCCUCUUUUUUCCCCUAAGGAAAGACAGCUGCUUUUCCUUAAUCCUGUGGGAGAUAAACUGAAGCUCCAUGUUGUCAGCUGAAUUAGUACCUUUAUCUUAAAGUUGUCUACAAUAGUGAAUAACAGAAAUAAAGGAAAAAGGAGCAACUGUAAUAGGUGGGAGUAGGUAAUGCUUCUGGCUCUGUACCUAGACCGGGUGUUUGCCUUCAGCUUCUUUAACACUUGAGUGUGUUUCAGCUGGUGAGUACGAGGAGAGAGUGGGUAGAUUACUCCCAUUACUUAGAACAAAAUAUAAAGUUUGGUACCCUUUUUCCUCUUGGUAAUUUUCUUCUCAUAGGGGAGGUGAAAUGGCUCCUGGGCAGAUGCCUACCAGGCAGUUUCAGUGAGUACCUGGGCGCUGCUGAGUGCUGUGCACAGGCAGCUGGCCUUGGAGGUGGAAGGCCUCUGAGUUCAGAGAAGUCAGCUACCCUGGAAAUAGAUUUCUGCGCUCAGGGUUUGAAAGAACACUAUUUUUGGUGCAGGUCCUCUUGAAUCUUAUUUUGUUCUUUCGUCCCUGGGACCUUCUGAGUAGGAGCAUUACAGUUAUUUGUGAUUGGAUCUGCUUGUUUUGGCUUUUUGUUGGUGCUGCAGAACAGAGGAUACUUGCAUAGCAUAGGCUAGAUCAGUUUUUGCCUAUUGCCAACUCUGAGCUUGAAUUUGUAUAGUAGGUGCUGAUGCUAUAAACAGAAGCAUCCCUGUCUCUUGCAAUGAAAACUCCUUGUCAGCCAUGCAAUACAGAGAUUUUUUAAGUAUUAUGUUCGGGGUAUGUUGGUGUGUUGCUGGGAGGGAUGGCAGAUUCUUCCUGUGUGAUCCAAUUUGCAGUGGCUUUGGUAUGACAAACAAAGUACUGGCAGUUUCGCAAGUGAAAAAGGCCAAACUGAGGAUGUCCAAGCAGUUGUCUGGCAUGGAUUCCCAGUGUGACAUUUUUGUCUGCGUGUUUAUCUGACAUGCUGGCAGUGGGUUUGAUGCUUUUGUUUUGCUGCUUCUUUCUGAUGUGUAUUUUCAGUACUGGGUUCAAAGGCAAGAAACCAAAAAGAAGUACCUAAAGAAGGUAAGGAACCAGGGCAAAAAAAAUGCAAGGGUGCCUGCUGUGCUCUGUGCAGUGACCCUACACUGGCCACUAAUUUCAGUAAAUACAGAAGAGGCAAAUAGGUACAAAAGGAGAUUCAGGCUCUUUCUUGCUCAGUCCUCCAGCCUGUUAAUAUUGAAAUUUCUAUCUCCUAAGGAUUAUUUAUAGCAUUACAGUGUUCUGUGAUACUUCAUCCCUUUUGGAUUCAAGAUAAUGGUAAUUUUCCAGGCAUGUAACAUAAAACCCUGAGAUGUUCAUCAUGAUCUGCUAUUUGAAGAGACAGAGCAGAGUCAUCUCAGAGGACAUGGCUGUCACAAAACACCGCAGUGUUUCAUUCUGAGCUUUCAGCAGCCAAGCUCCCUGAGAGAGACCACCUUUUCUUGCCUUCUUGCCUGCCUAGUGUCUUCUGGAGAACUGAUGGUGAUAUUCAGUGUCAUGCUCCUUUCUCAUCAGUGUGUUGUUUUACCCAGGCUGAGCAAGCUCGCUCGCUCAUAGCAAGCCCUGCAGUGGAAACAAAGGUUAGUGAUACCAUUCUGGCUCAUUUGGCUGCUGCCUUGGAAGAAGAGGAAAGCUGAGAGAUAACAGGAAGAAAACAGAAAUAGAUUGGAUCAGACUGUUGUGUGUUCCACCUUGUAUCUAAUGCUCAGUGAAACCAAUCUAACAGCUCCACUUGAGCUUUAUGCGUAUCUGAUCAGUUCAGUGGAGGGCUGGAUGCAUUUCUUUGGCUUGUGGUAAGUGCUCAGCUCAUGUCACAAAGGUGGAGAGCUGCCUGCUGUUGUCCUAGCUGGCUUUGAGGCAGUGGUUUGCAGGCAAGCAAUGUGGCAGAGACUCGUACUGAGGCUGGCAGGUGGGGUGGCCUUUCCUCAUGGUAUCAUACUUGCUUGAUUCAUGGACAGGAGUUGAAGAAAGCUGGGGUGUAGGCUAAUACACACCUCUUGAAACUACCUGGCCCUUCUGUAGCUGACUAAAAUGUGCGUUGCACUCAGGACUGUAGUUACAGGCACAUUUACGUGAAGCCAGGCACCUGACACCAUAGGAACUGGAGUCAGUGGUGCUUCACUGCCUGCAUCCAAGACUGGUGUUACGAUGCAUCUGUACCAAGUAACUCUGUGUGAAGGGUCUGUUGGCUCCAGUUUGGCUGAGCUCCUUACAAAAGAAACACCUGAUGGCUUUGUGAUAUUAGUCCUUACGGUAGGGGGAUCAGCCAGCCUCCCAAGACCCCUUUCCACUCCCUUUUCUUGCAGGUCCCUGGCAGGAAGAACGGGGUUUUGGUUCAGCUUGUUGCUUCCAGAGAAGACACGUGCCCUGUGCGUUUCCACACUGAGUGGCCUCCUUCAACAUCGUACAAGUCUUGUUCUUGAAUAGAGGGCUGAAGCGAGGUGAAUGAAAAGUGUAUCCUGCUGCUGCCUAACCAUCAGUUUCAUCUCCAAGAAGAGGAGAGAAGGAACAAAAGACUCAAUCUUUGAGAGCUGUAGUAGGGGCAGACGUGCAUCUCCAGCUGGGUGCAGCGUGCCCUCCCACAAAUGGCAGCAUUCAGCUCUGUUCAGCUACAGAUGAGCACUGUAACUUUCCAUGGAAACUGCUGCAUUGAUUCUCUGCCUUUGGCUGCAGGUAAUUACUUUGCCUCUUGCAGUUAUGUGGGGUAACUAGAAGUAGAUUGUACAAAGAGUAGUAAGACCCAUCAGUGCAUCCUCUCCUUUUGUAGUCUCUUCCUUUAAGAGUGAUUAUUUCAUUUUUUUUUAGCCCAACCUCUAUCUGUGCUUUCUGCCCAGCUGAUAUCUUAGCAGUGUGGCAAAAAAAGGGAAAAUGAAUGCCGUGUUCAUUUUUACAGCAUGCUAUCCCAUACAAUCCCUUACUGGAACUGCAGUGGGAAAGCCGAAUGACUUCAAAAUUCACAUUUUCUUCCAGCCUGAUACAGUUAUGGACUGUUAAUACAGCAGGUUGAAUUCUGAAAUAGAUGCAGCCCAGUAACAGGCAUACAGAUUCUGGCUGGCUUAGCAUGGAUUAAGGCAGUUUUCUUAUGCUCUCUCUUUAAUCAUUUGGUUUUUUUCUAUGUGAAGUGGUACACUGUUGGAACUUGAAAAGAGACAAGGUAGCAGACACCUUCUGUAAUGAAGGUUUAUAAAAUUGCCACUGAUCCAUUACUUCAGAAGUACUAUCAUGCUGCUGUGCUUAAUGAAAGAUCAGUCAAGUAAAUUGUUCCUGGGAUUCAACUUAAUUACAUGCAAGAGAUGGAAACUCUGUUAUCAAGGUCUAAUAAAAUAUCAAAUGGCUUUAAUGAAGUCAGUAAGGUGGCAGCUUUAAAGUGAAAUGUGCUCGAUUAAUAAUGGAAAUGACAGUAGAUUUGACUGAGGAGUGUUAUAAAUUACAUGUCAAUUCUCCACUGCAAGGUGAGAGUCACCAUUGUUAAGCUGUAUUGGUGAGAAACUUUGGGUUCGUUGUCAGUGCUCAUCCUCUAAGGCUCAGACUAACAGGCCAACAGCUGGAGGAGAUUUCCUAUUGAAGGAUUCUUUUAGCCUGAAACUUGGCAUAUGACAAGUAGGAUGGUUUUUCAUAAUGCUAGCAAAGGAAGCCAUUUAUCCAGCUAUGUAAUUGAAAUCAGGAGAUGCCUCGGGAUGACAUGGUUGUGACUGUUACUAAGCACUAAAACAUUAAGUAAAUAAAGAUGCUUAAAGUGU
This is a long non-coding RNA of Numida meleagris (helmeted guineafowl), 4802 nucleotides long. RefSeq lists it as uncharacterized. The transcript is spliced from 2 exons. NCBI's taxonomy places the organism in Eukaryota, Metazoa, Chordata, Aves, Galliformes, Numididae. The record is from RefSeq and is a predicted model, not a curated record.